CCUACGGGUGGCAGCAGUGAGGAAUAUUGGUCAAUGGGCGAGAGCCUGAACCAGCCAAGUCGCGUGAAGGAUGAAGGAUCUAUGGUUUGUAAACUUCUUUUAUAUUGGAAUAAAGUGAGGACCGUGUUCCUUUUUGUGUGUACCAUAUGAAUAAGCAUCGGCUAACUCCGUGACAGCAGCCGCGGUCAUACGGAGGAUGCGAGCGUUAUCCGGAUUUAAUGGGUUUAAAGGGUGCGUAGGUGGUUAAUUAAGUCAGCGGGUAAAUUUUGUGGCUCAACCAUAAAAUUGCCGUUGAAACUGGUUGACUUGAGUAUAUUGGAGGUAGGCGGAAUGCGUGGUGUAGCGGUGAAAUGCAUAGAUAUCACGAAGAACUCCGAUGGCGAAGGCAGCUUACUAAACUAUAACUGACACUGAAGCACGAAAGCGUGGGGAUCAAACAGGAUUAGAUACCCUUGUAGUC
Molecule: ribosomal RNA, 460 nt
Filed under: uncultured bacterium
Lineage: Bacteria
Description: partial 16S ribosomal RNA
Rfam family: Bacterial small subunit ribosomal RNA
Source: RNAcentral